Molecule: ribosomal RNA, 433 nt
Filed under: uncultured bacterium
Lineage: Bacteria
Description: partial 16S ribosomal RNA
Rfam family: Bacterial small subunit ribosomal RNA
Source: RNAcentral
AACGAACGCUGGCGGCAUGCCUAACACAUGCGAGUCGAACGAGACCUUCGGGUCUAGUGGCGCACGGGUGCGUAACGCGUGGGAACCUGCCCUUAGGUUCGGAAUAACUCCCCGAAAGGGGUGCUAAUACCGGAUAAUGUCUUCGGACCAAAGAUUUAUCGCCUUUGGAUGGGCCCGCGUUGGAUUAGCUAGUUGGUAGGGUAAAAGCCUACCAAGGCGACGAUCCAUAGCUGGUCUGAGAGGAUGAUCAGUCACACUGGGACUGAGACACGGCCCAGACUCCUACGGGAGGCAGCAGUGGGGAAUAUUGGACAAUGGGCGAAAGCCUGAUCCAGCAAUGCCGCGUGAGUGAUGAAGGCCUUAGGGUUGUAAAGCUCUUUUACCCGGGAUGAUAAUGACAGUACCGGGAGAAUAAGCUCCGGCUAACUCCGUG